Molecule: ribosomal RNA, 682 nt
Filed under: Bacillus zhangzhouensis
Lineage: Bacteria; Bacillati; Bacillota; Bacilli; Caryophanales; Bacillaceae
Description: bacterial SSU rRNA
Rfam family: Bacterial small subunit ribosomal RNA
Source: RNAcentral
AGCUUGCUCCCGGAUGUUAGCGGCGGACGGGUGAGUAACACGUGGGUAACCUGCCUGUAAGACUGGGAUAACUCCGGGAAACCGGAGCUAAUACCGGAUAGUUCCUUGAACCGCAUGGUUCAAGGAUGAAAGACGGUUUCGGCUGUCACUUACAGAUGGACCCGCGGCGCAUUAGCUAGUUGGUGGGGUAAUGGCUCACCAAGGCGACGAUGCGUACCCGACCUGAGAGGGUGAUCGGCCACACUGGGACUGAGACACGGCCCAGACUCCUACGGGAGGCAGCAGUAGGGAAUCUUCCGCAAUGGACGAAAGUCUGACGGAGCAACGCCGCGUGAGUGAUGAAGGUUUUCGGAUCGUAAAGCUCUGUUGUUAGGGAAAAACAAGUGCGAGAGUAACUGCUCGCACCUUGACGGUACCUAACCAGAAAGCCACGGCUAACUACGUGCCAGCAGCCGCGGUAAUACGUAGGUGGCAAGCGUUGUCCGGAAUUAUUGGGCGUAAAGGGCUCGCAGGCGGUUUCUUAAGUCUGAUGUGAAAGCCCCCGGCUCAACCGGGGAGGGUCAUUGGAAACUGGGAAACUUGAGUGCAGAAGAGGAGAGUGGAAUUCCACGUGUAGCGGUGACAUGCGUAGAGAUGUGGAGGAACACCAGUGGCGAAGGCGACUCUCUGGUCUGUAACUGAC